CUUCUUCUUCCCACCAUCGCCAGCCUCCUUCUAUUUUGUCUCCUUCUCCAUUGAGGAAUUCUCAUCCGCCUCGUCACAUUUCUCCGGGAACUCCUCCUCUUUCUUAUCAUCAGUCUUAUCAACCUCAUCACAAACCUCAAACUCAACAUCACCAAAACCACAACCACCACCACCACCAUCACCAGCAGCAGCAGCAGCAGCGGAACUCUCUCAGUCCCCCUCAGCAGAUGCCGGUGCCUCCUCCUAGGAUGGCAUCCCCUUCGGACGUGUUUAGAGCAAAUCUACCUGGAUGGCCGUAUACCAAUAAUACGCAGACUCAGACGACGCCGGCGUGUCAAGAGCACCAGUCGGGUUUAGAAGAUUGAUGGUUUUUUUGUUGUUGCUGUUGUUGCUUUGGAAUGAUGAUUUGCUUUUUCAUGGCUUGAUAAUUUCAGGUGAUAAUAGAGCAGAUAAAAACCAAGGCAGCAAAAGAGAAAAAUAACGACGGCGGGGAAAGAUAGUCGUAGGCAUAUGUUACGUUAGAGGAUUUCAUUGGAAGAGAAAACAAAGAGAGAGAAAAAAAAAAAAAAAAAAUGAUGAUAUCGCUGGGUGGUUAAAUCGGUGCCGGUGCAUGAGGAGUUGGUCCGUCGGUCGGUCACGGACGGCUUACAGCAAGAAAAGGGAUACAGUAGUAAAAUAACCGUGUAAGGUACUAGAGUGAGUGAUUGAGUGGGUAGAGAAAGAAGAAGAGAAGGAUCGGUUAUCUUAUUACUUUGUCUCAACGGUACGCUUUCCUUUAUUUCUCUUUAUCACUUUUAUUAUUAUUCACCUACUUGGAGUGUGGUGAAGGUCACAUAUACUCUCUACUCUUAUUUCUGGUUCUGGUUCGGUCCCUGUGUGUGUACUACUUAUCUAUCUUAUUUAGAUUUUAUGGAUGGAUGAAAAUCCG
Molecule: non-coding RNA, 928 nt
Organism: Neurospora crassa OR74A
Lineage: Eukaryota; Fungi; Ascomycota; Sordariomycetes; Sordariales; Sordariaceae
Source: RefSeq, a predicted model, not a curated record